Molecule: ribosomal RNA, 529 nt
Filed under: uncultured bacterium
Lineage: Bacteria
Description: bacterial SSU rRNA
Rfam family: Bacterial small subunit ribosomal RNA
Source: RNAcentral
AAUAGAUACCCUGGUAGUCCACGCCGUAAACGAUGAGUGCUAAGUGUUAGAGGGUUUCCGCCCUUUAGUGCUGCAGCAAACGCAUUAAGCACUCCGCCUGGGGAGUACGGUCGCAAGACUGAAACUCAAAGGAAUUGACGGGGGCCCGCACAAGCGGUGGAGCAUGUGGUUUAAUUCGAAGCAACGCGAAGAACCUUACCAGGUCUUGACAUCCUUCGCUACUUCUAGAGAUAGAAGGUUCCCCUUCGGGGGACGGAGUGACAGGUGGUGCAUGGUUGUCGUCAGCUCGUGUCGUGAGAUGUUGGGUUAAGUCCCGCAACGAGCGCAACCCUUGACCUUAGUUGCCAGCAUUCAGUUGGGCACUCUAAGGUGACUGCCGGUGACAAACCGGAGGAAGGUGGGGAUGACGUCAAAUCAUCAUGCCCCUUAUGACCUGGGCUACACACGUGCUACAAUGGAUGGUACAAAGGGCUGCAAGACUGCGAAGUCAAGCCAAUCCCAUAAAACCAUUCUCAGUUCGGAUUGCAGG